GGGGCAGGAGCCUGGGUGCACUUCUGGCCCCGAGGGGAGAGCAGGGCCGCCCAGGGCACUUGUUCAUUGAGCACCUACUGGGUGCCAGCGUUGGCCCUCCCGUCCUCUCGGUCUUCAGCUGCACUCGGGGAAGUGGGCCUCACUCCCACGCCAGGCUGAGGCUCAGGGCCGUCGACUCCUGGAGAGGGGAGAUCUGAGCUCAGGGUGUCUGGUCACGGGCCUUGGUUGCCUUCCUCUCUGCCACUCUGGCGCUUGCCUCUUGGGGCUGCCUCAGUUUUCUCCCUCCCACCUACUUCUCAGGGUGCUUUGAAGGUGGGUAGGAGCGUGUUUUCCCAGAGUCCUCCGGGCCUCCCAGGGCAGCGCGCUCUUAGCCGAAGCCCAGGGACAGCGCGGUAAUGAGCCCUUUCCCAGCACCCUGUGGCCAGGAGCGUUAGCCCCAUUGUAGAGGUGGGGAAGCCGAGGCCAGGGAGCCCCAUCUGGGACCUGCCCACGGUGCCGUGUGAGUCAGCGGUGACCCGGGGCGACCUGUCUGUUCUCCUUCCCUCCCGACAAGCGGAGGCUGAGGAGGAGGAUUGGCAGCCUCGGGAGCCUCCGGCCCGUCCCUGGGAGGCAAGAGGCACAGCCAGUCUUGGUGUCUCUGGUCUGGCUGAGCCUGGCUUCAGGUGAGAAGGGAAACGUGAGGAUGGGGGAGUCCAGGUUCCUUCCUCCCUGGACACGAUUCCUGGUGGCAUUGCUGUGACAUCGUCCCUUAGCUUUCUCCAGCCAUUACUCUGUGGUAAGCCCAGGGCCAAGAUGGUACUAGAGCCUGAGAGAGAAGCAGCUGAUGUGGAGAGGGGGAGGGAGGGAGCUUGUGCCACACACAGUAGGCCCGCUCAUCCCAUCACAGUGAAGAAUCCGGCCCAGAGGGGUUGACAGUUCAGGUCGGCGUGUGGAGCAAAGUGGAGAUCCGAACUCAGGCUCGUUGGAAUUCAAAAAUGUUGCAGCUUCUGAAGUUGCCCCCCCCCCCCCCCCCCCCCCGCCCGCCUCUCUGGAACCUCCUUGGAGAGGUGGGGUCUACAGAGGGUCAGCUUCGUGGCCCACGACCUGCAAGACUGCACAGGGCGCCCCCCCGGGAAGGAUCACAUGCUGAGUGGUGACUUGGUUCUGUCCAUCUGUGUCCCUCUCCAAAUGCAUAAUAAUUUUUGGAAAAGGGGCCCCGAGGUUUGCUGUUUUCGGACGCUGCAAUCGUGUGACCCGUACGGCUCCACACACAAGAUGGGAGGCCUCUACUCCGGGGAGGGCCUUGGGCGGAUGCUUCCCUGUGACAUCCUCAUCCGCACAACCAGGAGUGUGGGUGGCCAGCACGGGCCUUGGGGCUGUCCCUUCCCAGGACCCUGCCCACAAGGGCUUGAAGAGGGACCGACAGAGACUGAGUCUGGGUUUCCCAGGAAGACCUGCUACCUCACGGAGCUUCAGGGUGGCUGAGAGGUUCCAGAGACCAAGGAAAGUGACCUGGCAGCCCUCGACGGCUGCAGCUGGGGCAGGGCCCCUCAGUGCGGCUCUCAGUCACAGGAAGCUGCGGGACAUUGUUGACAAAUGUGAUCACAACGCUUUGAUGGUCCCAACGGGGUGGGGUGGGAGUUGUUUUUCCUUCUAAGCAAACACACUUGGAGGAGUUUCGAAGUUGUCACCAGGCAGGUGUGAACUCACGGCAGCCACCGGGAGCUGCUUCUGGUGCUCGGAGGCACAUCCCCAGCCUGCCCUGGGCGGAGCUGCUCUGUGGAGCCGGACAGGGCCCCAAGUGCCCCGAUGGCUCAGGCCGGGCAGCUGAGCCCCCCAGGCCCGGGCCAGUGUGGCCUGGAGACCCGACGUCCUGAAGAACCCAGCUCCCAUGACCACAAGAUGAC
RNAcentral lists this long non-coding RNA (1886 nucleotides) under Marmota monax (woodchuck). The record is from RNAcentral. Lineage: Eukaryota; Metazoa; Chordata; Mammalia; Rodentia; Sciuridae.